AGUGAACGCUGGCGGUAGGCCUAACACAUGCAAGUCGAACGGCAGCACAGUAAGAGCUUGCUCUUACGGGUGGCGAGUGGCGGACGGGUGAGGAAUACAUCGGAAUCUACUUUUUCGUGGGGGAUAACGUAGGGAAACUUACGCUAAUACCGCAUACGACCUACGGGUGAAGGCAGUGGAUCUUCGGACCUUGCGCGAUUGAAUUAGCCGAUGUCGGAUUAGCUAGUUGGCGGGGUAAAGGCCCACCAAGGCGACGAUCCGUAGCUGGUCUGAGAGGAUGAUCAGCCACACUGGAACUGAGACACGGUCCAGACUCCUACGGGAGGCAGCAGUGGGGAAUAUUGGACAAUGGGCGCAAGCCUGAUCCAGCCAUACCGCGUGGGUGAAGAAGGCCUUCGGGUUGUAAAGCCCUUUUGUUGGGAAAGAAAAGCAGCAGGUUAAUACCCCGCUGUUCUGACGGUACCCAAAGAAUAAGCACCGGCUAACUUCGUG
This 492-nucleotide ribosomal RNA is filed under the name uncultured bacterium. Its description in RNAcentral is "partial 16S ribosomal RNA". It matches the Rfam family "Bacterial small subunit ribosomal RNA", at positions 29 to 507 of the family's 1533-position model. The record is from RNAcentral.